This 301-nucleotide ribosomal RNA is filed under the name uncultured bacterium. Its description in RNAcentral is "partial 16S ribosomal RNA". It matches the Rfam family "Bacterial small subunit ribosomal RNA", at positions 509 to 807 of the family's 1533-position model. The record is from RNAcentral.
CAGCAGCCGCGGGAAUACAGAGGAUGCAAGCGUUAAUCGGAAUUACUGGGCGUAAAGCGUGCGUAGGCGGUUCGUUAAGUCUGUUGUGAAAGCCCCGGGCUCAACCUGGGAAUGGCAAUGGAUACUGGCGAGCUAGAGUGUGUCAGAGGAUGGUGGAAUUCCCGGUGUAGCGGUGAAAUGCGUAGAGAUCGGGAGGAACAUCAGUGGCGAAGGCGGCCAUCUGGGACAACACUGACGCUGAGGCACGAAAGCGUGGGGAGCAAACAGGACUAGAUACCCCUGUAGUCCCUGUCUCUUAUAC